This 4352-nucleotide long non-coding RNA is filed under the name Sus scrofa (pig). RNAcentral's name for it is "lncRNA (ENSSSCG00000061868.1)". The record is from RNAcentral. Lineage: Eukaryota; Metazoa; Chordata; Mammalia; Artiodactyla; Suidae.
CCAAAAAAAUAUGAAAUUAAUCCAUAACAUUAAAAAGUGUAUUCAAACUAAAACUAACGCUCCCAUUCCCCCAAUCCCUCUGGGGACACUUUUAAGGUUCUGAUAUGCUCUCCUAGCUGGUAACCCCUGCCAGAGACUGAGGUGACGGGAUAAGACAUUUUCCUCCAACCCUGGACUCGCUUUAGUAAAAGUGCAGGCGACACGUGAUAUCACAACCAUUUGGAUGGGAAUCCAUUUUGGUUCCGGGAUACUUCUCCCCUGAGAGACAACCUCACUACGGGCCACUCGGGGGACAGAAGCAACCAGCUCGUGAAAGAAAGAACAGGGACCGUGUUUCCACAUUGUCCGGCUUGUCUUUGACAGACGGCAGCUUUCCGACUCACAGCUCUGAUGCUGCCAAACUUCUUUCGCCCUGAAGCAGCAUCUGGUUUCCUGAUUCUAGUCUUUCCUUUGUCAGAACGCGUUCCCUUCCAGCAGCGGCUAGAGUCCCUCUAAUGUUCCUUAAGCCUAAUUGGAGUCGGGGGUCUGAGAAGUCUCAGCUGCUCUGGAGAAUCAGGUAGUCCCAGAGAGGGAGGCCCGGGUCCUAGGACCCGCCAGUUGUGUUGGCCAGAGUCCUGGGUCCAGUGAGUUGUGAUCGGAGCCAAUCCCAUAACCAAUUUCAGUACCUCAGUUUCCCCACCCAUAAAACCUAGCUCUGGGACUUGGGGAGUCUUAAUGAGCAUUGGCCUUUCCUGGAUAAAUUAACCAGGUGCCGGAAACAUCUGUGGCUGGAAGCGGAGUCUGCUAUAUAAACAGAAUCUAGUAUUCUUAUACACAGGACUGCAGCUAAAGCUCAAAUACCAGCUAAGCCUGACUUCAUCCUAAGUCCUAUUUAGUAAGCCUCCUGGGAAAAGCCAAGCUCUUCUCCUCUAGACCAGGUUAUAUUUGAGAAACUCACCUUCUCGUUUCUCUCACUCUAUUCUACUCAGGACAAAGGAUUUUCUUAAAAAGUGGAGGAAUCAAUAAUUCUUCCAGCAAGCACCACUUUCCAUUUAAAUCAUAUAACAAUACUCCAGAAAUAGAUACCCCCCCAGAGGAUAUAUGUUCCAUAUGAACAUAGGGCUUAUUCACCCCAAUAUUUCCAAAGUACUGAUUCAUAGAGGAUCCUAAAAAAGGGCUUUUUGAACAAGUAAAUAAAUGAACAGACAAUAGCCCUAGAAAAAUAAUACUAUAUGUUUGCAUGGGCUUUAGACUACUUUUACAGUAUCUCCUUCCAUGCUGUCCUCAGUUUAUGAGCUUAUUAGGGCAGAAAAUAUUAAGCCAUUUCACAAACCAGUGGACACAUGGAAGUCAACCUGACAUAGCCAGGUGCAGAUCAGGUCUCCAAACACCCAAUUCAGUCUCCUUGCUUUUACAACUCACUGCUUUCCUCUGUCUAAACUAAGCGUCAGAAAACUAUAGCCCUGCAGCCAAAUCCAAGCCAUCACCUGAUUUUUGUAAAUAAAGUUUUAUUGGAACACAGCCUCACCUGUUCCUUUACUUAUUGUCUAAGGCUGUCUUCCCACUAAAACGGGCCAAGUUGAGUAGUUGCCAUAAAGAUCACAUAGCCCACAAAACCUAAAAUAUCUACCACCUAGAUAAAAGCUUGUUUACCUCUUCUCUCUAGCCUGGAAUCCCAUCAGCCCUGGAGCUAUUGGUAGAGACAAGGGCUCCGUGAACACAUUGCUGCAGUCACACAGCUUAUACAACCAACUAUCCCUUCAUGAAUGCUUACUACUAGGAGUGCAAAGAGCUUUACUCAUGUGGACCUAAAACAAAUUAACUGGCAGUUAUUUGUUCAUCAAAAAUGAAUUUGGGAUCAAUAAAAAAAAUUGCAAUUAUUUUUGCAAUAGUGAGCUGCAUACAACUCCCCAUGUAGCAAGGAGAGGAGAACUCUUUUAAAGAGGGGAAAGGGAAGUCAGGAGGACUACAGUAAAUAGAGUCCAUUGGGAGACUUGAGAGCUCAAACUAUAGUGGCUUUUCAUUGGCUGAGUUGUGAGAGUCUCUCAUUGGCUAAGGUCUUGCCCAACAAGAAGAGGAAGACUUUCUUCUUCCUUUUGGGCUCAGCUAUCCUAGGGCUCUGCUGCUGUGGGACAUGAGAGCUCCCCCUUCUGGCCUCCUGCCUAAUUUAACUGAGGUUUCUUUUUAUUGAUUUUUACACCCACAUUAUCUUAAUUUCCCCAACAAUCCUGUGAGAUAUGCAUUAUUAUACAAAUACAUACUGUGCUAAUAAUACUGGACUAAGCAAUAUGAAAUUGCUUUUUUUUUUGAAGGUCAAAUGCUGGCAAUUUCAUAUAGGUCAAGCUAAUAUUACUAUCUCUGUUUAAAAAAUGACACUACAGGAGCAACUGGCCCAUCAGCACACAGUUAAGUGAAAGUGCUCAAAUACCAACGAGCAUUCUGGUUAGGGCAGCAACUAGCUACACUGCUUCUUCUUAAAACUUUACAUUCACUUUAUGUAUUAAAGGUUGUGCUAAUAUUUAAGUGUGAACUGGAAGUGGGCACUUGCCAUCUGCCUCUGUAAGGAUUGAAUCGUGACCCAUUGUGACUGCUCACCCUUGACACCCCCUGAAAGAGUUCAGGGUGCAGAUGAGGGGUGAGGCAUUCUGCAUUCUGGGAAAACUGGCAGAACAGAUCUUUAGAUAGAUAUUUUCAGGAGAAGAUUUUAUGAACUCCUGUAUCUCCUUACAUCUAGAAAAGCACUAAAAUCCUUCAUGGUGACACCUGCUCCUCUUGACUAAUAGUAACCUUCAAAAGACUAAUAGCAAAAACCUUCCACACAAUGUGUGCUUGAUUCCACACACCUCCCCUUUCACCAAAAUCACCUACACACUGACAUACCCCCCUAACUCUUUGGAGCAGUUUUUCAGAGUAAUCUGAGAUGCCUCCUGGGCUAUCGUCCUCAUUUUGCCCCAAAUAAAACUUAACUCUCAACUUUUAGGUUGUUGUUUUUUUGUUUUUUUUUUUAAAGUAAAGAACGAAUCUAAUGCUGUUUAAGUAAGCCCUUCUCAAGUUUAUUUGACCAGUAAAGUACUGCCCCCCACCCCCCCCACCCCCCCGUAGCACCUAUGAAUAUUCCACAAAACUAGUCUUCCUUGGCAAAAACCCUUUUUGGGAAACACCUCCAACUCCCUUCAUCCCCAUCAAAGAGCUUGCAACCAUCCUCUGGCUGCAGCCACCUCCUGACUCCCAGAAUCCCCACACAACUGCUCUGGGCAUGCGCUUUGCUCCACUGGCAAAUGGAACUCCAUUUAAACUAAAAGAACCUGAAUAGUUCUUGCUGUUGCUGCUGGCCAAUUCCAUUUACAGGAAUAAUGAAGCUCCAUCCUUGUGUGGCGAUGGAUGUUCACUUAAUACACUUUAACCAUUCCAUACCGCCCAUUUGUAAUGCAAAUAAACUGCAUCUUCCAUCAGAAUGGCUCACCCUCCCUCUUAAGUCCAAAUUCUUCAUAGGAUUUAUGUGCCGAAUCAGUUGCAGGCUUUUUUCCAAUGGCAGUAUCCAAAACCUGAGAUUGUCUUUUAGUCCAGGUCAAUUAAACAAUGUGGUAUAUAUAUGCUUAGCUGGAUUUUUCCCCCUCCUUUUUAAAAGAAAAUAAUGGCUGGUGUAUAUAAAGUUUCCAGUCAGGGCCUCCUUUAUUACACAUUUUCUUUGGGAAUAAUCUAAGUCCGUAACUGACAUAUGCCUCCUCUUCUGCCCCUUCCUAAAAUAUUAACUUGGUGGGGAGGUUAGAAAUCCAUCAUAGCCAAUGACAGACAUCAGGGCACAAAAAUAGCAAGCCUCAAGUUUAAUAUUUUAUUGCCAUAUUUUGAAACAACUGGUUAGGCAGCUGCUACUGUUAUCUUCCAAUUACUUCUCAUUUUUCCAGUUUUAAAAGCAAGCUGUGACAAAUUAAAUCUAAAUUUCUAUAUGCUUUUCUAAAAAAAAAAAAAAGACAAAUUUCAGAAUGCAAUGCAAAAAAAAAGAAGUUAAAACAGAGGAAGAAAGGGAUAUUGGCAACAGGCAAGAGGAGAAGUCUAUUCUCUGUGCCUACGUGAUCUGUUUGAAUGGCCUUGAGGUAUGCAGAAAUGCCUUCCCCACACUGGCCAAGAAGAUCCUGAAUAGGUUCGGAGACUUCGUAGUUGUUAAAAAGGCACUCUCCCUGCCAGCUUUACAAAGGUGCAAAGAAGAAACCCCGUCAGUGAAUGCUGAAUGACUUUCAUACUCUGGUGUAACACUCCAUCAAUGGUGCCCGAAUACACAAGAAACUACUCAAGACAUAAUGAAUCAUAUUUGGGAGGUAGCCGCUCACGCAGAACUGCUCAUGAUUCUGACUAUGGAGACAGCAAACAGUGUG